RNAcentral lists this ribosomal RNA (552 nucleotides) under Triticum aestivum (bread wheat). RNAcentral describes it as "partial small subunit ribosomal RNA". Lineage: Eukaryota; Viridiplantae; Streptophyta; Magnoliopsida; Poales; Poaceae. The record is from RNAcentral.
AUGGAACAUAACAAAGCUCCAGGCCCAGAUGGUUUCCCCGCAGAAUUCUAUCAGAAUUUCUGGGAUAUCAUCAAGGAUGACCUUAUGGAGUUGUUCAAUUGUCUUCAUGCCGACCGACUUGAGCUAUUUAGGCUUAAUUUUGGCGAGAUUGUCUUGUUGCCAAAGAUUAAGGAGGCUGAACGGAUCCAGCAGUUCAGACCCAUAUGCCUCCUUAAUGUCAGCUUCAAGAUUUUCACCAAAGUGAACCUAAGUGGAGUAGUAUUCAAAAUUGACUUUGAAAAAGCCUAUGACAAGGUCAAAUGGUCUUUUCUCCAACAGGCCCUAAGGAUGAAAGGUUUCUCUGAAAAAUGGUGCAAGUGGAUCCAAAAUUUUGUAACUGGAGGUAGUGUGGCCAUCAAAGUCAAUGAUGAUGUAGGUCAUUACUUCCAGAUAAAAAAAGGACUACGGCAGGGUGACCCCAUGUCCCCAAUGUUAUUUAACAUUGUGGCUGACAUGUUGGCUAUUCUGAUUGAGCGCGCCAAGCAGGACGGGCAAAUUGCUGGGGUAGUGCCA